RNAcentral lists this transfer RNA (68 nucleotides) under Lamellodiscus spari. RNAcentral's name for it is "tRNA-Glu". The record is from RNAcentral. Lineage: Eukaryota; Metazoa; Platyhelminthes; Monogenea; Dactylogyridea; Diplectanidae.
AUUAAUUUGGUGUAAGUAGUUAGCAUAUUAAUUUUUCGUAUUAGGGGUAGUUAUAUAACUAAUUAAUU